RNAcentral lists this ribosomal RNA (465 nucleotides) under uncultured Streptococcus sp. Its description in RNAcentral is "bacterial SSU rRNA". It matches the Rfam family "Bacterial small subunit ribosomal RNA", at positions 338 to 795 of the family's 1533-position model. Lineage: Bacteria; Bacillati; Bacillota; Bacilli; Lactobacillales; Streptococcaceae. The record is from RNAcentral.
CCUACGGGAGGCAGCAGUAGGGAAUCUUCGGCAAUGGGGGCAACCCUGACCGAGCAACGCCGCGUGAGUGAAGAAGGUUUUCGGAUCGUAAAGCUCUGUUGUAAGAGAAGAACGAGUGUGAGAGUGGAAAGUUCACACUGUGACGGUAACUUACCAGAAAGGGACGGCUAACUACGUGCCAGCAGCCGCGGUAAUACGUAGGUCCCGAGCGUUAUCCGGAUUUAUUGGGCGUAAAGCGAGCGCAGGCGGUUAGAUAAGUCUGAAGUUAAAGGCUGUGGCUUAACCAUAGUACGCUUUGGAAACUGUUUAACUUGAGUGCAAGAGGGGAGAGUGGAAUUCCAUGUGUAGCGGUGAAAUGCGUAGAUAUAUGGAGGAACACCGGUGGCGAAAGCGGCUCUCUGGCUUGUAACUGACGCUGAGGCUCGAAAGCGUGGGGAGCAAACAGGAGUAGAUACCCGAGUAGUC